Drosophila melanogaster (fruit fly) is the source of this 147-nucleotide small nucleolar RNA. NCBI's taxonomy places the organism in Eukaryota, Metazoa, Arthropoda, Insecta, Diptera, Drosophilidae. The record is from Ensembl.
GAGAGCAAAAUGUUUGAAGUCGCCUGCCUGAUGUUCAUCUGCCCUUGGCUCAUACUCGUACUGCUCAUGUUCAUCGCCAUGACUGUACUCUAGUACUCUAGUUGAAAAAUGUAAACACAAACUGAGAGGAAAAUAACGAACAAGAAU